Glycine soja is the source of this 531-nucleotide long non-coding RNA. RefSeq lists it as uncharacterized. The transcript is spliced from 2 exons. The record is from RefSeq and is a predicted model, not a curated record. NCBI's taxonomy places the organism in Eukaryota, Viridiplantae, Streptophyta, Magnoliopsida, Fabales, Fabaceae.
CUCUUCUGGUUCCCACAACUAGGCCACCCUGUCUCUAGUGAAUUUUUUUGUCCACUAUUCUUCUGUAUGUAGCAAUGAACUUGUUAUGGACUGGUAUUCGAGGCCCAGGACUCCUCCAGAAAGAGAAGAUAAGAGAGAAUGAGAUUUUAUUUCUGCAUGAAUUUGCAUUACAUGAGUUCGUUAUUUAUAGGCAAUGAAAUGCUAUUUCUUCUGCAGAUGCUAGCACUAACGGAUUGUGGGAUUAUCCUAACAGAAAGAUGCCUCUAUAGCAGACAGGAUAUUCCCUAGCUCAGCAACCCUUGUCAGAGUUAGUUAUGAAAUCCUUCAGAAAAAGAUGCCUCUGGAGCUCAUUUUAGGAAUAGGAGGGAAUCAUCUGCAUCAAUUCCUUGUCCAAUUAUGUUGCAAUGAGCCAAUGACAUUGAUCCCUAUCUUGUUAGGCAUUAGAGCAUGUUGCCAAGUUCCUUAGACAUUAGUAUUCGUUUCCUUCCUGUGAGUUUGUUGUGUUAAGAAUAACAGUAGGGAUAUGGCUUU